RNAcentral lists this ribosomal RNA (424 nucleotides) under uncultured bacterium. RNAcentral describes it as "bacterial SSU rRNA". It matches the Rfam family "Bacterial small subunit ribosomal RNA", at positions 14 to 450 of the family's 1533-position model. The record is from RNAcentral.
UGAUCCUGGCUCAGGACAAAACGCUGGCGGAAUGUAUUAGGCAUGCAAGUCGCACGAACCUUCGGGUUAGUGGCGGACGGGUGAGUAACACGUGGGUAACCUGCCUCGUAGUGGGGAAUAACUCGCCGAAAAGGCGAGCUAAUACCGCAUAUAACUCCUGGUGAGAAUCCGGGAAGUAAAAAGCUCCGGCGCUACGAGAGGGGCCCGCGGCCGAUUAGCUUGUUGGUGGGGUAAUGGCCUACCAAGGCGACGAUCGGUAGCUGGUCUGAGAGGAUGGUCAGCCACACGGGGACUGAGAUACGGCCCCGACUCCUACGGAGGCAGCAGCUAAGAAUCUUGCGCAAUGGGCGAAAGCCUGACGCAGCAAUUCCGCGUGGAGGACGAAGGCCCUCGGGUCGUAAACUCCUUUUGUCGAGGGAAGAAA